CCGAGGUUCCCACCAGAUCGUCUUCCGUGCAAUAAAAAUUAGGGUAUGGGGUUGUAACAUAUGUGUAACGCGAGGGGCGUAUCCGUUCCGUGGCUGUGGUCCGUCCGUCCACCCGUCUGUGGCAAAGAAGCAGUGGAGUUCAGUUCCGCACGGGACCGGAUGCUCUGACCAAAGACACACAUAAGACACUGUGUGAGGGCGCCCUAAGGAUUCGGAGGUGUAGCUCAAGAUUUACAGUGGCGCUUGUAGGCAAUAAGUCAUGUCUGGUGAACAUGUCGCCUACCACAGGCUUCACACGUGGCUUGAGUAAGAUGGGCGAGCAUGAAACGCGAUACGCAAAGCCACUCCUUCACGAUAUUAUCGCGCCAAUGUGCCACUGCAAUGUCUGCCACCUAGUAGUCACUCAGCCAUCCUACAACGCAGCAUCACUUCGUUUCAGGCCGACUGACAAUAUUGAGUAGAAGAUUGCUCUGAAGUUGGGCAUAAUGAUGAUUGUACGGAAUAAUUUUGGGCCAGUGCGGCGUCUUUGAGUGUCACGCAAUUCGUGGUUCCGUCGUAUCUGCUCCCACCUGGGGCUGAAUUCACCUCACACCUAAGUAUCAUCUUUAAAAUGCACGAUAGAAUUGACCAGAAGCGUAAUUCCCCGUGUAAUUCCACGGUUGCUUAAUUUGCAGACAAGUUCCACCUUGAAAGACAGAAGGCAGCAGAGAUCACACACGUAAUGCACCAUGUACACCAGACCUGGAUAUAUCCGUGAUAUCGAUAUACGAUUCUGUGGUGUGUGCCUCGAAGAUUUUACGUGGGGGAAUGGGGUUGCUCGGGGGCGGUACCAACGACCACACAGGGCGCCGACGAGAAUUACGUCCCUGGAUACCAAAGGAGUUCGCUGUAUAGGGUGUCGGAAUGAAAAGGUCAUCGAUAAAAAGGACACCCGUUACACUGGCUGUUACCGCAUUGGGUGUGAUUUACGCGUCCCCUGAUUUACACUGAUUACGGGGCCCCGCCACGUCGCAAAGCAAAUACAUCCCCCACAGCACCCACUCGCCGAAGCAACAUCAAUUUCCAUUGAUUGAUUUUACUCGGGUAUUAAAUUAAUCUCCACUAGAGGCCAGGCUGAAUCGCCAUUUCUGGAAUCUUCAAAGAAGUUCCGCUACUGGGUGCUGCCGUUAUACCUUGCACACUCCUCGUAUCCAUCUAUCAGACGCCACGUACCGAGGCAACUGGUUGUACGCGUUUACAACGGACGAAUUACUUAAUAUUUAUCACCUCACAGACGUGCCGUGGCAAAUUGGUUCGCGAGGCGUUUAAGGACCUCCAUGCUCAGCACCUCUUCUUCGUCGCCGAAGAAGCCCUCCGGCAAACGUGACCGGACGGCCGAAUCAUAAAUUCCAUGAAGUAAUGCAACGUCCGCUGCGAUUAUUUACUGAUACUUACAAGACGCCAGGACCCAGACAUACUACCCCGUAUCUUGUGCAGGAUUAUUUUUAUUUAUUAUUAUAUAUACAUUUUUUUAAUAAAAGCCAAGAUCACUUUUGGGUUAAGUACGCUUUUUUUUUUUCAGAUAUCGAUGGUAUAGAUGUAGACGUGUAUGGAUGCUGCGUAGAAUUAUUGACACCAGUACAGGAGAGGAGUAGAGGAGUAUUAAACUGUAGAAUGAUGGCAUCAAUCUGGAUCACACGAAAUUAGAAAUUACGAUCUGUCCAUCUCUGGAUAUUGGUGAUCCAGAUAGGCAAACGGGUAGAGCCAGAUGUUCGUAAGAUCGUAAGAGAAGGUUUGUUGCCCAGUUGUCGAGAGCAGGUUGGGUAUAGGUAAUUGUAAAGCAGCGUAUAGAAAAUAAAUAAAUGAAGACUCCACGGGAAAAGAGUACAAGCCGA
Long non-coding RNA from Cephus cinctus (wheat stem sawfly), 1874 nucleotides. RefSeq lists it as uncharacterized. The record is from RefSeq and is a predicted model, not a curated record. The transcript is spliced from 8 exons. Lineage: Eukaryota; Metazoa; Arthropoda; Insecta; Hymenoptera; Cephidae.